GACGAACGCUGGCGGCGUGCUUAACACAUGCAAGUCGAACGGAAAGGCCCUGCUUUUGUGGGGUGCUCGAGUGGCGAACGGGUGAGUAACACGUGAGUAACCUGCCCUUGACUUUGGGAUAACUUCAGGAAACUGGGGCUAAUACCGGAUAGGAGCUCCUGCUGCAUGGUGGGGGUUGGAAAGUUUCGGCGGUUGGGGAUGGACUCGCGGCUUAUCAGCUUGUUGGUGGGGUAGUGGCUUACCAAGGCUUUGACGGGUAGCCGGCCUGAGAGGGUGACCGGCCACAUGGGGACUGGGAUACGGCCCAGACUCCUACGGGAGGCAGCAGUGGGGAAUAUUGCACAAUGGGCGGAAGCCUGAGGCAGCAACGCCGCGUGCGGGAUGACGGCCUUCGGGUGGUAAACCGCUUUCGCCUGUGACGAAGCGUGAGUGACGGUAAUGGGUAAAGAAGCACCGGCUAACUACGUG
This 468-nucleotide ribosomal RNA is filed under the name uncultured bacterium. RNAcentral describes it as "partial 16S ribosomal RNA". It matches the Rfam family "Bacterial small subunit ribosomal RNA", at positions 28 to 507 of the family's 1533-position model. The record is from RNAcentral.